Columba livia (rock pigeon) is the source of this 2996-nucleotide long non-coding RNA. RefSeq lists it as uncharacterized. NCBI's taxonomy places the organism in Eukaryota, Metazoa, Chordata, Aves, Columbiformes, Columbidae. The transcript is spliced from 2 exons. The record is from RefSeq and is a predicted model, not a curated record.
GGUUCUGCUGGCGGGGUGGGGGCGGCAGCCCGCGGGCGCUCACUCCUCCCAGUUCCCGUCCGGCGGAGGAAGCGAGUCACGGGGAGGGCAGGAGGGAGCGCGGCAGGCGGGGGGUGGCUUCCUGCCGCCAUUAACUCCUCGGGCUUAGCCUGCGCGGCGGCUGUCUCUCCUGUGAGGGUGGAGGCUCCAGAUGGUGUCCGCCUGUUCAUCUCCCCAGCUGUGGACAGCUAGGGGCUGGGAUGGCUUCCCGCAGCCCCGCUCUUGGCUCUGUCCCUUGGACAGCAGGGGAGGGGGGAUCCAGCAGGGCUGUGGGAUCCCCCUCAGCUGAGGGAGAUCUCCCUGGCUGUGAGGGUGCUUGUUUGAUGGAAAUGAGGAGAAGGCGGCAUUCUCCUGCGUCAGCCUGUGGGGCUGGAGGACCUACAGCUGUGGGGGAGCUGUCUGCUACACCCUUUGGGGUGUCCCAGCUCCCUUUGAAGGCACUACAGGACUGGGGGCUGCCGGCAGGGUCAGCCAGGCUACCGGGUGGCUGGGAGGAGCACCCUGGGGCCUCAGCUGCUUUCUAGGACCAGCACAGCUGAUGGCGAAGAUGGACCUGCUUGUGAGCGGCCCUCAUUUGCAGCAUCUCCACUCUGGUGAGACCCCACCUGGAGUCCUGUGUCCAGGUCUGGAGGCCUCAGCACAGGAGAGACAUGGACCUGUUGCAGAGGAGCCAGAGGAGCCACAGAAAUGAUCAGAGGGCUGGAACAGCUCUGCUGUGAGGACAGGCUGAGAGAGUUGGGGUUGUUCAGCCUGGAGAAGAGAAGGCUCCGGGGAGACCUUAUUGCGGCCUUUGAGUGCUUAAAAGGGGCCUAUAAGAAAGAUGGGGGCAGACUGUUUAGCAGGGCCAGUUGCGAUAGGACAAGGGGUAAUGGUUUAAAACUAAGAGAGGGGAGAUUCAGGCCAGACAUGAGGAAGAAAUGUUUUACAGUGAGGGUGGUGAAACACUGGCCCAGGUUGCCCAGAGAGGUGGUAGAUGCCCCAUCCUUGGAGACAUUCAAGGCCGGGCUGGACGGGGCUCUGAGCAACCUGAUCUGGUUGAAGAUGUCCCUGCUCAUUGCAGGGGGUUGGACUAGAUGACAUUUGAAGGUUCCUUCCAACCCAAGCUAUUCUGUGAUUCUAUGAUCUGCAUUUGUUUUUGUGUAUGGACAACUCUCCAAGUGACACCAUGGGACCACAGAGUAUUCCUGACAGAUUAAAAGACUGUGCAGAAGCGGGUGGCCUUAGGAAAGCUUUGCAGAUCAGCUGGAUGAUCGUUUGUUUUUAAUUUUGUAUGAGAAAUUAUCAUUGAACCUUGUAAUUUUGGCUACGAUAUUUCUAUGCGUCUGACAUUGAUUGGUAUUGCUUCUGAAGCUUGUGAGAGGACCUCUAACCCCAAGUGCCAAGCCUGCCUUGGUGUGACUCUGCUCCACGGUCCUGAAGCUGGACGCCGUGUUCCAGGCCCUUGAAUAAGAACAGAGUUCUCACAUUCAGUCCACUUUUCCUGCCUGAAUAAAGACACUGAGCCAUAAUAAAAACCACUAGCUAAUACCAAAAAAUAUCAAAUAUGUCAGUAUAUAUUUACAUAAUGAAAAAACAUAAUGAAAAUAGAUAUGGCUUUAUCAGAAAAUGUUGUUUCAGAUAAUUUUAGAAUGGUGGAAAGAGGUCAGAGGUUUUUUGGUUUUUUGUUUGUUUUCCUACAGAAUGUGAAGUAAGGCACUAGUUAGACUUAAGAACCCAUGACUGCUUCUGAGCCAGUUUUGUCAGUCUGUGUUAAAGUCUUACUUUUCUUUCUUCAGAGAUUUUGAAAACAUUACUCGAAAUUCACUGAGGAAGAGAAGAGCAUGCUUUAUCAGAUUUUGUGCAUCUUAAAGUAGCUUCAGGGUAUUUUUGAAUAUUUCCCAAAUACUUCUGUUACAACUCUGCCCUUUCCUUUCCCCCUCUAGGCUUCCGAUAGUUCAGCAACAGCUCUUCCCCACUGAGUUGAAGUGUUUUCUUCAUGAAGAAAACAUCAACAUGCUUUGUAUUUUUAUUUUACAUUGUCUUCCCUCCCAAGAGCUAUAACCUUUAAGGUCUUAUCUUGUUCUUGAUGACUUUGUCUAGUCUAAGGUUCAGGUGUGGAAGCCUGUUGUCAUUCCAAAAUUGAGGUCAGCUCUUUCCAGAACAGGUUCUACUAGCUUUGUUUAAAUAAAACAGAGGGCACAUCAGUAACUACUGAAGGGUGACACUUUUACUAUCUGUCAUUCCUUACAGCUUUGUAACCUAUAGUACUACUCCCAAACAUUUCAACUAUUUACUUAUACAACAGUAGUGAUAUUAUUGUUUAAAUUGGGUACCUUUGUGUAUAGGCAGACCUUUGGGUAGAGGGUAUCUAAGCCUUUGACAGUAGCAGAGGCUGUCCUUGGGUUGUCACUGCUUUCUGUGCAGGGCACCAGCACUGGGCAGCCUGGCAGGUCCAGCUCCAGCUGAAGAUGCCCUGCGGUACCUGUGCUGCAUCUGGGACCCGAGGGAGCUUCUUCAGAGCCAUCUCUGUAGCCUCGCAUCACAGAGUAUUUUACACUCCUCGGAAGAGAAGUGGCGCGGUGUUUAUCUCGGCGUGUGGUCCAGGAGCUGCUCGCUGCGCUGGGCAGUGCCAGCAGGGAACGAACACCACUGCAGCUCCUCUUGUCUAAAUCUGGGUAUUGAGUGCAAUACUCGGUUACUACAAGAAGUCUCGCUAGUGAAAAGCGCUGUUCUUCAAAGUCAGUUUUAAAGGGAACACUGUACAUAUGGAAAGAGAAUAGGGAAACGGCAGACACAGUACAUAGAAUCAAUCACCUGAAUAUUCAAAAAACCUGUCACGGCGGCAUGCACUGAGCUGUGAACACUUCCAGUAAGCAGUCCAAAGUGGAAACUUAAGGUAAAAACCCUGGAAAUUGAUACAUAUUGCUUAUAAAACUAAUAAGAAUUUAUAAUAUCAAAUAAAAUCAAUAAAUAAUUGA